GGGUUGUGAGGUUAAGCGACUAAGCGUACACGGUGGAUGCCCUGGCAGUCAGAGGCGAUGAAGGACGUGCUAAUCUGCGAUAAGCGUCGGUGAGGUGAUAUGAACCGUUAUAACCGGCGAUUUCCGAAUGGGGAAACCCAGUGUGUUUCGACACACUAUCAUUAACUGAAUCCAUAGGUUAAUGAGGCGAACCGGGGGAACUGAAACAUCUAAGUACCCCGAGGAAAAGAAAUCAACCGAGAUUCCCCCAGUAGCGGCGAGCGAACGGGGAGGAGCCCAGAGCCUGAAUCAGUGUGUGUGUUAGUGGAAGCGUCUGGAAAGGCGUGCGAUACAGGGUGACAGCCCCGUACACAAAAAUGCACAUAUUGUGAGCUCGAUGAGUAGGGCGGGACACGUGGUAUCCUGUCUGAAUAUGGGGGGACCAUCCUCCAAGGCUAAAUACUCCUGACUGACCGAUAGUGAACCAGUACCGUGAGGGAAAGGCGAAAAGAACCCCGGCGAGGGGAGUGAAAAAGAACCUGAAACCGUGUACGUACAAGCAGUGGGAGCCUCUUAAUGGGGUGACUGCGUACCUUUUGUAUAAUGGGUCAGCGACUUAUAUUCUGUAGCAAGGUUAACCGAAUAGGGGAGCCGAAGGGAAACCGAGUCUUAACUGGGCGUUAAGUUGCAGGGUAUAGACCCGAAACCCGGUGAUCUAGCCAUGGGCAGGUUGAAGGUUGGGUAACACUAACUGGAGGACCGAACCGACUAAUGUUGAAAAAUUAGCGGAUGACUUGUGGCUGGGGGUGAAAGGCCAAUCAAACCGGGAGAUAGCUGGUUCUCCCCGAAAGCUAUUUAGGUAGCGCCUCGUGAAUUCAUCUCCGGGGGUAGAGCACUGUUUCGGCAAGGGGGUCAUCCCGACUUACCAACCCGAUGCAAACUGCGAAUACCGGAGAAUGUUAUCACGGGAGACACACGGCGGGUGCUAACGUCCGUCGUGAAGAGGGAAACAACCCAGACCGCCAGCUAAGGUCCCAAAGUCAUGGUUAAGUGGGAAACGAUGUGGGAAGGCCCAGACAGCCAGGAUGUUGGCUUAGAAGCAGCCAUCAUUUAAAGAAAGCGUAAUAGCUCACUGGUCGAGUCGGCCUGCGCGGAAGAUGUAACGGGGCUAAACCAUGCACCGAAGCUGCGGCAGCGACACUAUGUGUUGUUGGGUAGGGGAGCGUUCUGUAAGCCUGUGAAGGUGGCCUGUGAGGGUUGCUGGAGGUAUCAGAAGUGCGAAUGCUGACAUAAGUAACGAUAAAGCGGGUGAAAAGCCCGCUCGCCGGAAGACCAAGGGUUCCUGUCCAACGUUAAUCGGGGCAGGGUGAGUCGACCCCUAAGGCGAGGCCGAAAGGCGUAGUCGAUGGGAAACAGGUUAAUAUUCCUGUACUUGGUGUUACUGCGAAGGGGGGACGGAGAAGGCUAUGUUGGCCGGGCGACGGUUGUCCCGGUUUAAGCGUGUAGGCUGGUUUUCCAGGCAAAUCCGGAAAACCAAGGCUGAGGCGUGAUGACGAGGCACUACGGUGCUGAAGCGACAAAUGCCCUGCUUCCAGGAAAAGCCUCUAAGCAUCAGGUAACAUCAAAUCGUACCCAAAACCGACACAGGUGGUCAGGUAGAGAAUACCAAGGCGCUUGAGAGAACUCGGGUGAAGGAACUAGGCAAAAUGGUGCCGUAACUUCGGGAGAAGGCACGCUGAUAUGUAGGUGAAGCGACUUGCUCGUGGAGCUGAAAUCAGUCGAAGAUACCAGCUGGCUGCAACUGUUUAUUAAAAACACAGCACUGUGCAAACACGAAAGUGGACGUAUACGGUGUGACGCCUGCCCGGUGCCGGAAGGUUAAUUGAUGGGGUUAGCGGUAACGCGAAGCUCUUGAUCGAAGCCCCGGUAAACGGCGGCCGUAACUAUAACGGUCCUAAGGUAGCGAAAUUCCUUGUCGGGUAAGUUCCGACCUGCACGAAUGGCGUAAUGAUGGCCAGGCUGUCUCCACCCGAGACUCAGUGAAAUUGAACUCGCUGUGAAGAUGCAGUGUACCCGCGGCAAGACGGAAAGACCCCGUGAACCUUUACUAUAGCUUGACACUGAACAUUGAGCCUUGAUGUGUAGGAUAGGUGGGAGGCUUUGAAGUGUGGACGCCAGUCUGCAUGGAGCCGACCUUGAAAUACCACCCUUUAAUGUUUGAUGUUCUAACGUUGGCCCGUAAUCCGGGUUGCGGACAGUGUCUGGUGGGUAGUUUGACUGGGGCGGUCUCCUCCUAAAGAGUAACGGAGGAGCACGAAGGUUGGCUAAUCCUGGUCGGACAUCAGGAGGUUAGUGCAAUGGCAUAAGCCAGCUUGACUGCGAGCGUGACGGCGCGAGCAGGUGCGAAAGCAGGUCAUAGUGAUCCGGUGGUUCUGAAUGGAAGGGCCAUCGCUCAACGGAUAAAAGGUACUCCGGGGAUAACAGGCUGAUACCGCCCAAGAGUUCAUAUCGACGGCGGUGUUUGGCACCUCGAUGUCGGCUCAUCACAUCCUGGGGCUGAAGUAGGUCCCAAGGGUAUGGCUGUUCGCCAUUUAAAGUGGUACGCGAGCUGGGUUUAGAACGUCGUGAGACAGUUCGGUCCCUAUCUGCCGUGGGCGCUGGAGAACUGAGGGGGGCUGCUCCUAGUACGAGAGGACCGGAGUGGACGCAUCACUGGUGUUCGGGUUGUCAUGCCAAUGGCACUGCCCGGUAGCUAAAUGCGGAAGAGAUAAGUGCUGAAAGCAUCUAAGCACGAAACUUGCCCCGAGAUGAGUUCUCCCUGACUCCUUGAGAGUCCUGAAGGAACGUUGAAGACGACGACGUUGAUAGGCCGGGUGUGUAAGCGCAGCGAUGCGUUGAGCUAACCGGUACUAAUGAACUGUGAGGCUUAACCUUACAACGCCGAAG
RNAcentral lists this ribosomal RNA (2925 nucleotides) under Escherichia coli. RNAcentral's name for it is "23S ribosomal RNA". It matches the Rfam family "Bacterial large subunit ribosomal RNA". Lineage: Bacteria; Pseudomonadati; Pseudomonadota; Gammaproteobacteria; Enterobacterales; Enterobacteriaceae. The record is from RNAcentral.